AUGAGUAGUCGAAUACACAUUGAGGGGGCCUUGCCUCCUCCUUCCCGCCCACACCUUCAUUCUUUUCCUCCUCUGAUCUUAGAAAGCAUACAAAACUACACUCUACUUUGAGUCCUUCUAGAAGUAAAUAAAGGAAAUGCUUAUUCAACUACGGCACUGUCGGACAACCGACCGGAUUCAAGCCCUAGCCCCUCAACUCGUAUGGACUUGUGGAAAUCCUCGAAAAUAAGUAUUGCUCAACUCACCUAUCUAUAA
This 255-nucleotide ribosomal RNA is filed under the name Triticum aestivum (bread wheat). Its description in RNAcentral is "partial small subunit ribosomal RNA". Lineage: Eukaryota; Viridiplantae; Streptophyta; Magnoliopsida; Poales; Poaceae. The record is from RNAcentral.